Molecule: ribosomal RNA, 254 nt
Filed under: uncultured bacterium
Lineage: Bacteria
Description: partial 16S ribosomal RNA
Rfam family: Bacterial small subunit ribosomal RNA
Source: RNAcentral
UACGUAGGGCGCAAGCGUUGUCCGGAAUUAUUGGGCGUAAGAGCUCGUAGGCGGUGUGUCGCGUCGGCCGUGAAAACCUGCAGCUUAACUGUGGGCUUGCGGUCGAUACGGGCAUCACUGGAGUUCGGCAGGGGAGACUGGAAUUCCUGGUGUAGCGGUGAAAUGCGCAGAUAUCAGGAGGAACACCGGUGGCGAAGGCGGGUCUCUGGGCCGAUACUGACGUGAGGAGCGAAAAGCGUGGGGGAGCGAACAGG